GACGAACGCUGGCGGCGUGCCUAAUACAUGCAAGUAGAACGCACAGUUUAUACCGUAGCUUGCUACACCAUAGACUGUGAGUUGCGAACGGGUGAGUAACGCGUAGGUAACCUGCCUGGUAGCGGGGGAUAACUAUUGGAAACGAUAGCUAAUACCGCAUAAUAUUAAUUAUUGCAUGAUAAUUAAUUGAAAGGUGCAAUUGCACCACUACCAGAUGGACCUGCGUUGUAUUAGCUAGUAGGUGAGGUAACGGCUCACCUAGGCGACGAUACAUAGCCGACCUGAGAGGGUGAUCGGCCACACUGGGACUGAGACACGGCCCAGACUCCUACGGGAGGCAGCAGUAGGGAAUCUUCGGCAAUGGACGAAAGUCUGACCGAGCAACGCCGCGUGAGUGAAGAAGGUUUUCGGAUCGUAAAGCUCCGUUGUAAGAGAAGAACGGGUGUGAGAGUGGAAAGUUCACACUGUGACGGUAUCUUACCAGAAAGGGACGGCUAACUACGUG
Molecule: ribosomal RNA, 505 nt
Filed under: uncultured bacterium
Lineage: Bacteria
Description: partial 16S ribosomal RNA
Rfam family: Bacterial small subunit ribosomal RNA
Source: RNAcentral